UCCUUGGUGUUCCUGACUGGCCGUUUGA
RNAcentral lists this non-coding RNA (28 nucleotides) under Rattus norvegicus (Norway rat). The record is from RNAcentral. Lineage: Eukaryota; Metazoa; Chordata; Mammalia; Rodentia; Muridae.